This 68-nucleotide transfer RNA is filed under the name Cautires sp. UPOL A00106. RNAcentral's name for it is "tRNA-Phe". Lineage: Eukaryota; Metazoa; Arthropoda; Insecta; Coleoptera; Lycidae. The record is from RNAcentral.
AUAUUUUAAGGCAAAAAUGCCUUCUUAAUAUCUUCAAUAUUAUACUUUAACUAUAAGCUACUAAAAUA